CGGAGAGUGCGAACGUUGUUCGGAUUCACUGGGCGUAAAGGGCACGUAGGCGGCUUGGCGAAUCGGUCGUGGAAUCCCGACGCUUACCGUCGGAACGGCGGCCGAAAAUACCGAGCUCGAGGGCGUGAGGGGUCACUGGAACUCCUGGUGAAGCGGUGAAAUGCGUAGAUAUCAGGAGGAACGCCGGAGGCGAAAGCGAGUGACUGGCGCGUUCCUGACGCUGAGGUGCGAAAGCUAGGGGAGCAAACAGGAUUAGAUACCCUGGUAGUCCUAGCCGUAAACGAUGGACACUGAGUGGGGGAGGGCUUGCCUUUCCCUGCUGCAGCUAACGCGUUAAGUGUCCCGCCUGGGGAGUACGGCCGCAAGGUUA
Molecule: ribosomal RNA, 370 nt
Filed under: uncultured organism
Description: bacterial SSU rRNA
Rfam family: Bacterial small subunit ribosomal RNA
Source: RNAcentral